UACGAUAGUAGAUGAUGUUAAAAGAUCGAUAGAAAAUUAUAUUUUACAAAUUCAAAUAGAUAAUAUUACAGAUCUUACUCUUAUUUUUUUAAGAUCUGUAAAAAAGUUUUCAGUUGCCGCAAAUUCUCGGCACAAUUUAUGUACUUCAGAACAAUGUCUUGUUUAUAUGUAUUUGAACAUGCUGAAAUGCAUGUAUGCGAAAUUACUUAUAUUAGUCGUUUCAGCAAUUCUGGCAAUCUAUUCCUCCUGUGACCAGACCAAGUUGCACUGCGACGCAAGCCCACUAGGUGUUGGUGCGACCUGAUGUAAAGAGUCUCUUUGUUCCAUUCUGUCAUUUAGAGGUGUAGCA
Molecule: unclassified non-coding RNA, 349 nt
Filed under: Bombus terrestris (buff-tailed bumblebee)
Lineage: Eukaryota; Metazoa; Arthropoda; Insecta; Hymenoptera; Apidae
Description: misc RNA ENSBTSG00005036726.1
Source: RNAcentral